AUGAUGAUAGUACCAAUGUUCAACAUUUGGUACGGCAAACGACGGUCGUUUCACAGACUGGUUGUGGAAAAUGGAUAUAAUUUGCCUGGAUCUUUUUUGGGUGCUAUCAUCACUUUCAGCCACCUACUCAAGGCCAUCUGUGCGGAGAACAAGACCAGCUAUGCAAUGGACAUGGCACUUCGGAUAAUGCCCAAGUUUAACUGCAUACCGGAUGUUUUCUCCUACAACAUUCUUUUCAAGGGUCUAUGCACCGAGAAAAGAAGCCAAGAGGCUCUAGAGCUGAUUCACGUCAUGGCUGAGGAUGGAGGUAGCUGCCAACCUAAUGUGGUGUCCUAUAGCACCGUAGUUGAUGGCUUGUUGAAAGAGGGUGAGGUGGACAAAGCUUACAGCCUAUUUUGUCAAAUGCUAAAGAGGCGAAUUUCGCCGAAUGUUGUGACCUGUAGUUCAAUCAUCUCUGUCAUGUGCAAGGUUCAUGCGAUGGACAAGGCUGAGCAGGUUCUUCAACAGAUGUUUGAUACAAGAAUUCUGCCAAAUGUUGCUACAUAUACUAGUCUGAUACAAGGAUACUAUUCAUUAGGACACUGCGAAGAGGUGGAUUGGAUUUUCAAGAAAAUGUCUAGAAAUGGUGUUCAACCAAAUAUUGUAGCUUACAAACAUACGGAUGGAUUAUCUUUGCAAGAGCGGAAGAUGCGCAUAAGCUAG
This 702-nucleotide ribosomal RNA is filed under the name Triticum aestivum (bread wheat). Its description in RNAcentral is "partial small subunit ribosomal RNA". Lineage: Eukaryota; Viridiplantae; Streptophyta; Magnoliopsida; Poales; Poaceae. The record is from RNAcentral.